Rhododendron vialii is the source of this 1935-nucleotide long non-coding RNA. RefSeq lists it as uncharacterized. Lineage: Eukaryota; Viridiplantae; Streptophyta; Magnoliopsida; Ericales; Ericaceae. The record is from RefSeq and is a predicted model, not a curated record. The transcript is spliced from 2 exons.
UUGAUAAAAUGUGAGACCACGAUUGGUAGUUGUUUGUUUACAAUAGAAUGGCAAAAAUGUAUUCAAAGAAAUAGUGAGUGAACCCCUUUUUAGGCCUCUCUACUCUCUUCCGGUACGUAUCUCUCACUUCACUCUCUCCAUUAGUGGGAGUAGUAAAUUAUAGUAAAUCUUUAGCUAGUGACCAAACUUAAUGAAUUUACUUUCUCAAGCUAAAUCUUUAGCUAAUGAGUCCAUUGCAGCUAUUUUCUCUCUAUAUGUGGUUGAAAAAUAGUUGGUUAUGUAACUGCUUUGUUGACUUAAACAUAUAAAAAAAAAUCUCGGGGAUUAAGAACAAAUUUUUGAGUCUUUAGACGCCAAGGUUUUACUUAUUAUAACCUUCAUAUCAAUUUUUGUUUGAUAACCGGAUCUCCGGGGUCAGCUUACGCACAUCUCGACUAAUUCUGGGGCCUUGAAGAUAACGAUCGGCCAACCUCCAGUGGCCCCAAGGUUUGGAAUGUUUGGUUUUCGUGGAAUAUAACCUUUCUAUCGCUUUUAUGAUUGUGUAGACGUGCAGUAAAACCAUCCCAAAUCCCAACAUAUGAGGUAAGCUUAUAAAAUUUGUUAAAAAAAAAAAUACAAUUCAGAAUUACAACAUGAAAAGGCCAAGAAAGCUAACUGAAACCUUAUUCUAGGCUAUAUAAAUGGAUGAGAGAUAGAAUAAUUUCACAGUUCAUAAACAUGCGAGCUAUACAAUUAUCACAUAAAUGACAGACAAAGCUAGUAACUGUAAGAAAGCAUAUCAGAAGCUAAUAAGCAAACAUGAGGAUCAACAUCCCUACAGCAUGCAUGUUCAGGUAAAAGAUAUUAGUACAUCGUAAUAUUGCUUUAAUCAAAUAUUACGUUUAAACCAAGUACUUGAGCAAAUUUAAGUAAGUAUUUUCUAGUAUCUCAUCAUUACUUCAUAUUUUCGCUUGCUUGGUCUCUUAUUUUUUGUUUGUUUUUUUAAUAAUUGAGAGGUUCUGUCCUAGUCUGGAGCCGACUCUUUUCUCUGUGGGAGCGAGGUUCCUAGCAGAUUUAAGUUAUCAUUUUCUAGUAUCUUAUCAUUACUUCAUAUUUUCGCUAGCUUGGUCUCUUAUUUUUUGUUUGUUUUUUUAAUACUUGAGAGGUUAUGUCCUAGUCGGGAGCUGGCUCUUUUCCCUGUGGGAACGAGGUUCCUAGCAGAGUCUGACUUCAGGGCGCCAGAGCAAGAUUCUGAGGGGCAUUUGCCAUCCGAUAGGAGGACCUUGAUACUAUAUUGGCAUACUAUAACGCCAAGCCAAGGCAUUAUUGACAAUGGAUAUAGCUAGGUUUACAAGGCACCCAAAAUAAACCUAGGUAGCAUGUAAAUAAAUUGUAACCCAGAAAAAGGGUGAUAAGAGACCACAACUGAUGAACUCUGCUCUCUUACAUCUGAAGUCUUCUUCGUUAUGGGGGAUAAAUUUUCUUCCUAAAGCCUAGUCACAAACAUGCUGGCGAAUAGCUGCUCAGCCGAAAACUUCACCUGAAUAUCAACAAUAAAUGCCGCUAUUAGGCAAUUUCACACACUGUUCACUUUCUAAACACCAAUCAUUCCCUCGUGCCGCGAUUCCUUACCUCAGAUAGGCCACUAGAAUUAAUGUCAAAUUUUUGAGGUUGCACCAAAAAGAAGCAUCAUACGCUGAUUACUCGACACCAGACAGGCCAUCCAAACAUUAACCAUAUGGCCUUACUAUUCAAUAACAGCAUUUACAACCAAUCCACCAAGACAACAUCCUUUAUGCAGGCCACUAGAGUACUGCCACAUCACCACACCAAACCACAAUAGCAUAAAUAACAAAAGGACCGACAACGGCGCUUUUCCAUCCAUAUUACCCCUGCUACACUGUACCGUCAACAACAUGCAACUGCAUGGAAAAUUUCCCAUCAUCCCUGAAUGUG